Long non-coding RNA from Fukomys damarensis (Damara mole-rat), 975 nucleotides. The record is from Ensembl. Lineage: Eukaryota; Metazoa; Chordata; Mammalia; Rodentia; Bathyergidae.
CUCCUUCAGAGACAGAAGUUUCCUGGGUCUGGACUUGCGGAGUCGCAGCGGCAGCUGCGCAGUCAGCGGCCACCUUUUCCCCUGAAGAUUGCAGCAGGGAGGACAGGAGGAGAGGGAGUCCACCAGGAUGGGGCAGCGUGCCCCACUCAGCAGCCCCGGGAUGGCGGAAAAAGAAAACAGUGAGGCCCUGUCAAUCGCACCAAGGUGGCACUGCCUCGCUGGGGAACAAAGCUGUCCCUGCCCAGGCUCCAAGACUCUGAAAUGGAGGAGGCAGGUGGAGCGACGGGGCCCGGAAGGGCAGGAGACCAGCGUAUUUUUAACCUAUUGAUUUAUAUUUUAUAUGGUCUCGCUGUCCCCAGAGAGGCUCGUGUGGAGCCAGAGCACAACAGCUGGAAGGAGCCUCAAAGUCAGUUUUAUCCAGCACCAUCCAGGAUGAAAUCAUUGCUCCAUCAGCCAGGAUGCAGGCUUCGCUCCAGUGCCUCCAGGGACGGAUGCAGCUCUCACCCUUCCCCAGCACUCGCUCGGGCUGCUGUGGGCUGCUGGGUUUGGAAGCUGGCCCUUGGGGAGGCUGAGCUCAUCUGGGAACUCCUGCUACGUGGGCCAGCACUGCGGCCAAGGAUGCUGACUAAGCAAGGCUGCUUCCUCCCCCACUUCUGGGGUGACUUCCUGCCACCCAUGCCCACCCUUUCACCGGAAACCCCAGCAGACCUAAGCCCUCACACAGGCCAGGACCCUCUUCCCUGGCUCCCCAUGUUCAGCCCUCAGAUCUCAACUUGCAAUGAAGAAACAGAGAAUGCUGGACAUUUUGCCAAAACCACCCACACAGCAGGCGCAGGAGCUGCCGUGGCUGGGCCUGACACCAAGGGCGCUGGGCCCCUGGGGUGCUCGCCGACGGCUCCUGGAAAUGCAGCCAAGGGCAAGAAUCCUGCGCAGGUGGCCCAGAGCCACCGAAGGGGAGACCGGCAAGGGACGUGA